GAUGAACGCUGGCGGCGUGCCUCAAACAUGCAAGUCGAGCGAGGCUAUGAAUUACCGCAAGGUAAGGCAUAGCCUAGCGGCGAACGGGUGAGUAACGCGUGGGUAACCUACCUGGAAGACAGGGAUAACGAUUCGAAAGGGUCGCUAAUACCUGAUAAUAUCCAUCUGCCGGAUGGCGGAGGGAAGAAAGGGGAAACCCGCUUUCAGAUGGGCCCGCGUCCCAUCAGCUAGUUGGUAAGGUAAAGGCUUACCAAGGCGACGACGGGUAGCCGGUCUGAGAGGAUGUACGGCCACACUGGGACUGAGAUACGGCCCAGACUCCUACGGGAGGCAGCAGUUGGGAAUCUUAGGCAAUGGACGAAAGUCUGACCUAGCGACGCCGCGUGAGGGGAAGAAGGCCUUGGGUUGUAAACCUCUGUCAUGGGGAAGAAGGAAGUGACGGUACCCAAGAGGAAGCCCCUGCUAACUACGUG
This 473-nucleotide ribosomal RNA is filed under the name uncultured bacterium. RNAcentral's name for it is "bacterial SSU rRNA". It matches the Rfam family "Bacterial small subunit ribosomal RNA", at positions 28 to 507 of the family's 1533-position model. The record is from RNAcentral.